GUAAACCCAAUAGGCAGACCGAAUUGAGGCAAGGCGAUUCCUAAGCAAACUGCAUACCAAAAUACAAAGCCAAACAGAGAAUCAGGAGCAAUCAUAAGAGGCACCGACCUCGGGAAUUGACCGCUCACACUAAACCAACUCAGCUGGCCUAGAGAAAGGUCCAGGCAACAAAGAGCCCGCAAAACGCUCGAGAGAAGACAACCCAUAAAUACUCAGGGGCAAAAAACAUACACGAGAGUCCAACGCUCAGACAAAAAUAAUAAAAAGGCAAGAAAUGGAUACUUUCGACAAGAGCAGUUCUCAGACCGCACGGUCAUGAAUAGAGUUUAAAGAUUUAUCCCCUCACCAGUCAUGGAAUAACUGCUGAGGAGAUAAAGGGGCAAUUGAUGAUCGCUGGAUUUCUUCACCCCGGUCUAAAUGCCAGGCCCAUGAAAACGGUCCAUGAUCCGAAGGCUUCAAUAUUCCCCUCGAGAGCCAGGUCCAGCCCGCUCAGUCACAGGGCCGGACUCCGCCUAGACUCCUCAAUCAAGCCGGCCCAAACCUCUCGGCCCAGUAAUCAGGCCCUCACCAGGCUCAACUUCAGCCCUACCAUUCAACCCAGCUCGGAAAGGGGAAAAUGACCAAGAUGCCCCGCUGGUAGGUCCUUCCGCAUGCGUAUCAGAGGAGAAUCAUGCGUAUCAGAGGAGAAUUAAUGGCCGUUACGCAUGGAGCAGGCGCCUGACACAUCCGUACAUACGGAGCUAGGCGGCAGAAGACAGCUAGCAUUGUGGCAGAGAGACAGAUAUAUAUAUCACGGUAGAGGCCACGCAGAGGGGGUUCUCUCUUCUUUUUCCUUCUCCUUUCUGGAUACCAUUUUUAUUCUUUCUGCAACUCUUGCCUAAAUAUACCAUCUGAGCCAUAAAAUCUGACUUGAGCAUCGGAGGGCCUCUGCCGGGGCACACCCGGUAGACCCCUGACCGUUCUUUCUUAUUUUACAGGUCCCUUCACCAGGAAGAACAUGGAGAGAUCCACCAGAGAGCCCAGCAAGAAGGGACCCAGAAGAAAACCAGAUCUAUCAUGGACCAGGAAGAGGAAAAUAUUUAUCAGACACCAUUCGAGAUAGAGACCCAACCCAGUACAUGCCUUACUGUUCUGUGAGGCGGGUGGAGCAAGUUCAGAGAAAAAUAACUAAUUCUAUGAGGCGUGUUUGGAAUAAAUAAUAACUUUCCAAGGCGUGUUUGGUUUAUCUUAUAGAGUUCUACUAGGAGUUCCCUUUUUAUUUUGAGGACGUUUCAUCUAUGAAGAAGUUGGAAUCCUAAUUACUGUGGGACUUUCCGUCGUCGUAUCGUUGUCCAGGAGUUUCAGUUUACUAGGGACCGAAACCUUGGGUUUCGGCACUUUGGAAGCCGAAAACCAUGAGUCACGGCCCUUGGGGUUUCAAUCCCUUAGGGCCAUUGGAAGGCGGAUCAUGAGUGCCUCAACCAAGAUCCACCUCAUAGAACACCCUCUUUCCAUAGCUCCAGCCAAGAGAUAGUUGUUCUCAAUGGAUACUUAGCUCUGCAAGAGAGCAUCAAAGGAGGAGAUAGGCUAAACUAGAGGCGCCAAAGAAGGGUCCAGCUGG
Molecule: long non-coding RNA, 1600 nt
Filed under: Manihot esculenta (cassava)
Lineage: Eukaryota; Viridiplantae; Streptophyta; Magnoliopsida; Malpighiales; Euphorbiaceae
Description: long non-coding RNA (MESC_LNC012624)
Source: RNAcentral